Molecule: ribosomal RNA, 433 nt
Filed under: uncultured bacterium
Lineage: Bacteria
Description: partial 16S ribosomal RNA
Rfam family: Bacterial small subunit ribosomal RNA
Source: RNAcentral
AGCGAACGCUGGCGGCAGGCCUAACACAUGCAAGUCGAACGGAUCCUUCGGGAUUAGUGGCGGACGGGUGAGUAACACGUGGGAACGUGCCCUUUGGUUCGGCACAACUCAGGGAAACUUGUGCUAAUACCGGAUGUGCCCUUCGGGGGAAAGAUUUAUCGCCAUUGGAGCGGCCCGCGUCUGAUUAGCUUGUUGUUGAGGUAACGGCCCACCAAGGCGCCGAUCAGUAGCUGGUUUGAGAGGAUGAUCAGCCACACUGGGAGUGAGACCCGGCCCAGACUCCUACGGGAGGCAGCAGUGGGGAAUCUUGCGCAAUGGGCGAAAGCCUGAAGCAGCCAUGCCGCGUGAAUGAUGAAGGUCUGAGGAUUGUAAAAUUCUUUCAGCGGGGACGAUAAUGACGGUACCCGCAGAAGAAGCUCCGGCUAACUUCGUG